AUACGUAUGGUGCAAACGUUGUUCGGAAUCACUGGGCGUAAAGCGCGCGUAGGCGGCUUGUUAAGUCGGAUGUGAAAUCCCCGGGCUCAACCUGGGAAUUGCAUUCGAAACUGGCUAGCUAGAGUAUGGUAGAGGGAAGUGGAAUUUCAGGUGUAGCGGUGAAAUGCAUAGAUAUCGGGAGGAACACCAGUGGCGAAGGCGGCUGCCUGGACCAAUACUGACACUGAGGCGCGAAAGCGUGGGUAGCGAACAGGAUUAGAUACCCCGGUAGUCC
This 274-nucleotide ribosomal RNA is filed under the name uncultured bacterium. RNAcentral's name for it is "partial 16S ribosomal RNA". It matches the Rfam family "Bacterial small subunit ribosomal RNA", at positions 523 to 796 of the family's 1533-position model. The record is from RNAcentral.